GACGAACGCUGGCGGCGUGCCUAAUACAUGCAAGUCGAACGCAUUUUCUUUCACCGUAGCUUGCUACACCGAAAGAAAAUGAGUGGCGAACGGGUGAGUAACACGUGGGUAACCUGCCCAUCAGCGGGGGAUAACACUUGGAAACAGGUGCUAAUACCGCAUAAUUCCAUUUACCGCAUGGUAGAUGGAUGAAAGGCGCUUUUGCGUCACUGAUGGAUGGACCCGCGGUGCAUUAGCUAGUUGGUGGGGUAACGGCCUACCAAGGCUGCGAUGCAUAGCCGACCUGAGAGGGUGAUCGGCCACACUGGGACUGAGACACGGCCCAGACUCCUACGGGAGGCAGCAGUAGGGAAUCUUCGGCAAUGGACGCAAGUCUGACCGAGCAACGCCGCGUGAGUGAAGAAGGUUUUCGGAUCGUAAAACUCUGUUGUUAGAGAAGAACAAGGAUGGGAGUGGAAAGUUCAUCCCUUGACGGUAUCUAACCAGAAAGCCACGGCUAACUACGUG
Molecule: ribosomal RNA, 507 nt
Filed under: uncultured bacterium
Lineage: Bacteria
Description: partial 16S ribosomal RNA
Rfam family: Bacterial small subunit ribosomal RNA
Source: RNAcentral